GACGAACGCUGGCGGCGUGCUUAACACAUGCAAGUCGAACGGAAAGGCCCUGCUUUUGUGGGGUGCUCGAGUGGCGAACGGGUGAGUAACACGUGAGUAACCUGCCCUUGACUUUGGGAUAACUUCAGGAAACUGGGGCUAAUACCGGAUAGGAGCUCCUGAUGCAUGGUGGGGGUUGGAAAGUUUCGGCGGUUGGGGCUGGACUCGCGGCUUAUCAGCUUAUUGGUGGGGUAGUGGCUUACCAAGGGUUUGACGGGUAGCCGGCCUGAGAGGGUGACCGGCCACAUUGGGACUGAGAUACGGCCCAGACUCCUACGUGAGGCAGCAGUGGGGAAUAUUGCACAAUGGGCGGAAGCCUGAUGCAGCAACGCCGCGUGCGGGAUGACGGCCUUCGGGUUGUAAACCGCUUUCGCCUGUGACGAAGCGUGAGUGACGGUAAUGGGUAAAGAAGCACCGGCUAACUACGUG
This 468-nucleotide ribosomal RNA is filed under the name uncultured bacterium. RNAcentral describes it as "partial 16S ribosomal RNA". It matches the Rfam family "Bacterial small subunit ribosomal RNA", at positions 28 to 507 of the family's 1533-position model. The record is from RNAcentral.